Molecule: ribosomal RNA, 854 nt
Filed under: uncultured bacterium
Lineage: Bacteria
Description: bacterial SSU rRNA
Rfam family: Bacterial small subunit ribosomal RNA
Source: RNAcentral
GGAUCCAGACUUUGAUUAUGGCUCAGGAUGAACGCUAGCGGCAGGCUUAACACAUGCAAGUCGAGGGGCAGCAUAAUGGAUAGCAAUAUCUAUGGUGGCGACCGGCGCACGGGUGGCGUAACGCGUAUGCAACCUACCUUUAACAGGGGGAUAACACUGAGAAAUUGGUACUAAUACCCCAUAAUAUCAUAGAAGGCAUCUUUUAUGGUUGAAAAUUCCGAUGGUUAGAGAUGGGCAUGCGUUGUAUUAGCUAGUUGGUGGGGUAACGGCUCACCAAGGCGACGAUACAUAGGGGGACUGAGAGGUUAACCCCCCACACUGGUACUGAGACACGGACCAGACUCCUACGGGAGGCAGCAGUGAGGAAUAUUGGUCAAUGGACGCAAGUCUGAACCAGCCAUGCCGCGUGCAGGAUGACGGCUCUAUGAGUUGUAAACUGCUUUUGUACGAGGGUAAACGCAGAUACGUGUAUCUGUCUGAAAGUAUCGUACGAAUAAGGAUCGGCUAACUCCGUGCCAGCAGCCGCGGUAAUACGGAGGAUUCAAGCGUUAUCCGGAUUUAUUGGGUUUAAAGGGUGCGUAGGCGGUUUGAUAAGUUAGAGGUGAAAUUUCGGGGCUCAACCCUGAACGUGCCUCUAAUACUGUUGAGCUAGAGAGUAGUUGCGGUAGGCGGAAUGUAUGGUGUAGCGGUGAAAUGCUUAGAGAUCAUACAGAACACCGAUUGCGAAAGGCAGCUUACCAAACUAUAUCUGACGUUGAGGCAUGAAAGCGUGGGGGAGCAAACAGGAUUAGGUACCCUGGGUAGUCCACGCAGUAAACGAUGAUAACUCGUUGUCGGCGAUACACAGUCGGUGA